This 433-nucleotide ribosomal RNA is filed under the name uncultured bacterium. RNAcentral describes it as "partial 16S ribosomal RNA". It matches the Rfam family "Bacterial small subunit ribosomal RNA", at positions 29 to 506 of the family's 1533-position model. The record is from RNAcentral.
AGCGAACGCUGGCGGCAGGCCUAACACAUGCAAGUCGAACGAACCUUUCGGGGUUAGUGGCGGACGGGUGAGUAACACGUGGGAACGUGCCUUUAGGUUCGGAAUAACUCAGGGAAACUUGUGCUAAUACCGAAUGUGCCCUUCGGGGGAAAGAUUAAUCGCCUUUAGAGCGGCCCGCGUCUGAUUAGCUAGUUGGUUGAGGUAAUGGCUCACCAAGGCGACGAUCAGUAGCUGGUCUGAGAGGAUGAUCAGCCACAUUGGGACUGAGACACGGCCCAAACUCCUACGGGAGGCAGCAGUGGGGAAUCUUGCGCAAUGGGCGAAAGCCUGACGCAGCCAUGCUGCGUGAAUGAUGAAGGUCUUAGGAUUGUAAAAUUCUUUCACCGGGGACGAUAAUGACGGUACCCGGAGAAGAAGCCCCGGCUAACUUCGU